UUCAUCUCCCUCUCGUCUCUUGUCCACCGGCGGCAACAGCGGCAAUGGAAGAUGCCGACAGUAGCAGUCCAACUCCACCACCCUUAUCUUUCUCUCUUCCUCACCAUUCUCUCCUCGUCCAAGCUACAAGUAGCCAACAACAAUAAUGAAGACCUCCGGCCAGCAGCAUUCCCCUCCCUUGCGUUGUGUUGGAGUGCCAACCGGCGACUUCCCCUGUUUCAGCAAAGUCUGGCGAGAGCUAUCAGUAGCGGGACGGUGGUCUACCUCCCCUGUUCCCCUUCCCACAAGCAGAGUGCAUCGAAGGUAGUGGCGGGCAGCGGCAAUGGGUUCCCUACCCUAUCCGGUGCGAGAAGCUUGCAGCAGCAACGUUUUCGGCGGCGGCACAACGGCAGCAAUGCCGUGACUGCGGUGAGCAAUUCGGUGAUCCAUCUUCGGCCAUUUCUCUUCUCCGGCGAAGCAAAGUACGGAUGGCAGCGCUGGAUGCUCCGGUCUUCAUCUCCUCUCGGCAGUUGACGGCGACACUUCUCUUCUCUCCGGCGAGGCGCAAUGCGGUUCGGCGUGGCAUGGGCGUGAACGCCGUGAAGCAGAUGCUAGCAAUGGAUUUAGUUUAUAUUAAGGUUCAUAAUUGUGGACUUAGCUUAUGAGUUGAGCUUAGAGUUGGUGAUUGCUUUUGGAUUGUUAAAGCUUCAAGAGGUAUGAAGUAGAUUGAGCCGAGAGCGCGCUAGUGAUAAAUCUGCUUCGUUCUAUGCUUAGUCUAGUGGAUUGUUAGACGUUUCCAGGCCUGUGUGCCUUAGACAAUGUUUUCUGUAUUGACUAUUACAGCUAUCUUUACUUUAUGGAUUAGUCUUGUGGAUUCUUAGCUUGUGCAUCUAGGGUUGGAUUUACCUAGAUGUGGCAUGACACCCGUUUGAGUAUUAGUAUGCUUCCACUUUA
This is a long non-coding RNA of Ipomoea triloba (trilobed morning glory), 933 nucleotides long. RefSeq lists it as uncharacterized. The record is from RefSeq and is a predicted model, not a curated record. The transcript has 3 exons. Lineage: Eukaryota; Viridiplantae; Streptophyta; Magnoliopsida; Solanales; Convolvulaceae.